GUGAGGAAUAUUGCGCAAUGGGGGAAACCCUGACGCAGCGACGCCGCGUGAGUGAUGAAGGCCUUCGGGUCGUAAAGCUCUGUUGCAGGGGAAUAAAAAAAUGAAGGUACCCUGUGAGGAAGGAUCGGCUAACUUCGUGCCAGCAGCCGCGGUAAGACGAGGGAUCCUAGCGUUGCUCGGAAUCAUUGGGCGUAAAGAGGGCGUAGGUGGCUUGGUAAGUCAGGUGUGAAAGCCCAGGGCUCAACCCUGGAAGUGCAUUUGAUACUGCUGAGCUUGAGUGUAGGAGAGGUUACCGGAAUACCUGGUGUAGUGGUGAAAUACGUAGAUAUCAGGUGGAACACCGGAGGCGAAGGCGGGUAACUGGACGAACACUGACACUGAGGCCCGAAAGCGUGGGGAUCAAACAGGAUUAGAAACCCGUGUAGUCC
This 428-nucleotide ribosomal RNA is filed under the name uncultured bacterium. Its description in RNAcentral is "partial 16S ribosomal RNA". It matches the Rfam family "Bacterial small subunit ribosomal RNA", at positions 354 to 796 of the family's 1533-position model. The record is from RNAcentral.